RNAcentral lists this ribosomal RNA (444 nucleotides) under uncultured bacterium. RNAcentral describes it as "partial 16S ribosomal RNA". It matches the Rfam family "Bacterial small subunit ribosomal RNA", at positions 338 to 795 of the family's 1533-position model. The record is from RNAcentral.
CCUACGGGAGGCAGCAGUGGGGAAUCUUGGGCAAUGGAGGAAACUCUGACCCAGCAAUGCCGCGUGAAUGAAGAAGGUCUUCGGAUUGUAAAGUUCUUUAGUCAGGGAAGAAUAAAAUAACGGUACCUGAAGAAUAAGCUCCGGCUAACUACGGUCCAGCAGCCCCGGUAAUACGUAUGGAGCAAGCUUUGUUCGGAGUGACGGGGCGUAAAGGGUGCGUAGGCGGUUAUACAAGUUAGAAUGGAAAUACCCGGGGCUUAACACGGGUGCUGCAUCUAAAACUGUAAGACUUGAGUGCAGGAGAGGUUAGGGGAAUUCCUAGUGUAGCGGUGGAAUGCGUAGAUAUUAGGAGGAACACCAGAGGCGAAGGCGGUUAACUGGACUGCAACUGACGCUGAGGCACGAAAGUGUGGGGAGCAAACAGGAUUAGAUACCCCAGUAGUC